This 497-nucleotide ribosomal RNA is filed under the name uncultured bacterium. RNAcentral describes it as "partial 16S ribosomal RNA". It matches the Rfam family "Bacterial small subunit ribosomal RNA", at positions 28 to 507 of the family's 1533-position model. The record is from RNAcentral.
GAUGAACGCUGGCGGCGUGCCUAAUACAUGCAAGUCGAGCGGACAGACGAGGAGCUUGCUCCUCUGACGUUAGCGGCGGACGGGUGAGUAACACGUGGAUAACCUACCUAUAAGACUGGGAUAACUUCGGGAAACCGGAGCUAAUACCGGAUAAUAUAUUGAACCGCAUGGUUCAAUAGUGAAAGACGGUUUUGCUGUCACUUAUAGAUGGAUCCGCGCCGCAUUAGCUAGUUGGUAAGGUAACGGCUUACCAAGGCAACGAUGCGUAGCCGACCUGAGAGGGUGAUCGGCCACACUGGAACUGAGAGACGGUCCAGACUCCUACGGGAGGCAGCAGUAGGGAAUCUUCCGCAAUGGGCGAAAGCCUGACGGAGCAACGCCGCGUGAGUGAUGAAGGUCUUCGGAUCGUAAAACUCUGUUAGUAGGGAAGAACAAAUGUGUAAGUAACUAUGCACGUCUUGACGGUACCUAAUCAGAAAGCCACGGCUAACUACGUG